UCAUCUCGUUCAGCAUUCUCUCGGUCCUCGCGAGGACUUUCUCGUCUCAGAGAGUUUUCUCUCCCUGUCGUGUCCCCUCGUCUCACGUGUCACGGGUGUCUGGGGGUAUUCGGUCCGGAACUGCUCUGCCCUACCGCCCAGCCCCGUUGCAGGUGUUCAAGGACAAGUCCCAGGCACUUGUAAUUGGAGACUCGUAAUACGGGCUGUAGUUGGAGUCGAGGUAGUAUUCUUAUGUUGGCAGAAGGUGUCUGGAGCUGUGAAGUUACCCUGCAGCACUUUGACUUUUUUCCUAACUUUCUUUCAGAUGCGGAUGGAUCGACCUCCCGGCAGAGCGCCCCGUCCCAGAUGAGGGGAUCCCCCUGAGAAGGAAGUAAAGCCGGAUAGCAGCAGUGAAGGCGAAGCAUUGUGAAGGUGGUCUACUUGCAAGAUAUCCCAGCCCAGGAUGCCAGAGGACAGUCCCUGGUUGGCUGACAAGCUUUCGUAGUCCAAGAUGGAAUAAAGGAACCGCAUCAGGAAUUCCACCUUGCGGAUGGUGCCAGUCAUAUUUUCUGUUUUGUCCGAGGUUCCGUGCAGAGAGGCAGAGCCGAA
Molecule: long non-coding RNA, 588 nt
Organism: Poecile atricapillus (Black-capped chickadee)
Lineage: Eukaryota; Metazoa; Chordata; Aves; Passeriformes; Paridae
Exons: 4
Source: RefSeq, a predicted model, not a curated record